RNAcentral lists this ribosomal RNA (459 nucleotides) under uncultured bacterium. RNAcentral's name for it is "partial 16S ribosomal RNA". It matches the Rfam family "Bacterial small subunit ribosomal RNA", at positions 338 to 795 of the family's 1533-position model. The record is from RNAcentral.
CCUACGGGGGGCAGCAGUGAGGAAUAUUGGUCAAUGGGCGGAAGCCUGAACCAGCCAAGUAGCGUGCGGGAUGAAGGUCCUACGGGUCGUAAACCGCUUUUGCACGGGGAUAACACCCUCUACGUGUGCAGGUCUGCAGGUACCCUGCGAAUAAGGGCCGGCUAAUUCCGUGCCAGCAGCCGCGGUAAUACGGAAGGCCCGAGCGUUAUCCGGAUUUAUUGGGGUUAAAGGGGGCGUAGGCGGUCGGUUAAGUCAGCUGUCAAAUGGCGGGGCUCAACCCCGCCACGCAGUUGAAACUGGCCGGCUUGAGUGCGCAACAGGUAGGCGGAAUUCGUGGUGUAGCGGUGAAAUGCAGAGAUAUCACGAGGAACCCCGAUUGCGAAGGCAGCCUGCCGGGGUGCGACUGACGCUGAGGCUCGAAGGUGCGGGUAUCAAACAGGAUGAGAUACCCGGGUAGUC